AGUGAACGCUGGCGGUAGGCCUAACACAUGCAAGUCGAACGGCAGCACAGUAAGAGCUUGCUCUUACGGGUGGCGAGUGGCGGACGGGUGAGGAAUACAUCGGAAUCUACUUUUUCGUGGGGGAUAACGUAGGGAAACUUACGCUAAUACCGCAUACGACCUACGGGUGAAAGCAGUGGAUCUUCGGACCUUGCGCGAUUGAAUGAGCCGAUGUCGGAUUAGCUAGUUGGCGGGGUAAAGGCCCACCAAGGCGACGAUCCGUAGCUGGUCUGAGAGGAUGAUCAGCCACACUGGAACUGAGACACGGUCCAGACUCCUACGGGAGGCAGCAGUGGGGAAUAUUGGACAAUGGGCGAAAGCCUGAUCCAGACAUACCGCGUGGGUGAAGAAGGCCUUAGGGUUGUAAAGCCCUUUUGUUGGGAAAGAAAAGCAGCAGGUUAAUACCCCGCUGUUCUGACGGUACCCAAAGAAUAAGCACCGGCUAACUUCGUG
RNAcentral lists this ribosomal RNA (492 nucleotides) under uncultured bacterium. RNAcentral's name for it is "partial 16S ribosomal RNA". It matches the Rfam family "Bacterial small subunit ribosomal RNA", at positions 29 to 507 of the family's 1533-position model. The record is from RNAcentral.